RNAcentral lists this long non-coding RNA (378 nucleotides) under Helianthus annuus (common sunflower). Its description in RNAcentral is "sRNA HanXRQr2_Chr07g0283091". Lineage: Eukaryota; Viridiplantae; Streptophyta; Magnoliopsida; Asterales; Asteraceae. The record is from RNAcentral.
UUUUGUUGGACAUCAUCGUGUUCACCAGCAUUGCUUGGACCUGCUUCAUCGUCAUUUGAAGUUUGUCGUGGUCGUGUAAAAUACUCAGCUGGGAACCUUUCCUGUGAAGACUCGUACUCUCGCAAAAUAUCCAACUCAUCAAAGAAAUCUUCUUCUUCUUCUGGUUCUUCCAUCUUGUCAAACGAAUCCCACAACUUGUCGUAAUGAUAACACCAUGAAUCUCCAGGAUUCUGCGGCGGCAUUGUAUUACCUUGACAUUCAACAUUUGGAGCUUCAAUAAUCCGCUUCUCACUUGGAACGAAGACAUGUAGUAAAUGACUUGCAUAACCAACAAAUAUACCCUCAAUGCACUUCGGACCAAACUUUCCAAAAGAUUAG